GCCCAGAAAGCUUAUUAAAUCAAGCCCUGGUCUUGUAAACCAAAGAUAGGAAACUAAAAUCUUCCUCCGGGCAACC
RNAcentral lists this transfer RNA (76 nucleotides) under Yoda sp. d ASH-2021. RNAcentral's name for it is "tRNA-Thr". It matches the Rfam family "tRNA". Rfam says of the family: Transfer RNA (tRNA) molecules are approximately 80 nucleotides in length. Lineage: Eukaryota; Metazoa; Hemichordata; Enteropneusta; Torquaratoridae. The record is from RNAcentral.